CCUACGGGAGGCAGCAGUGGGGAAUUUUGGACAAUGGGCGCAAGCCUGAUCCAGCCAUGCCGCGUGCGGGAAGAAGGCCUUCGGGUUGUAAACCGCUUUUGUCAGGGAAGAAAAGGUUCUGGUUAAUACCUGGGACUCAUGACGGUACCUGAAGAAUAAGCACCGGCUAACUACGUGCCAGCAGCCGCGGUAAUACGUAGGGUGCAAGCGUUAAUCGGAAUUACUGGGCGUAAAGCGUGCGCAGGCGGUUAUGCAAGACAGAGGUGAAAUCCCCGGGCUCAACCUGGGAACUGCCUUUGUGACUGCAUAGCUAGAGUGCGGCAGAGGGGGAUGGAAUUCCGCGUGUAGCAGUGAAAUGCGUAGAUAUGCGGAGGAACACCGAUGGCGAAGGCAAUCCCCUGGGCCUGCACUGACGCUCAUGCACGAAAGCGUGGGGAGCAAACAGGAUUAGAUACCCUGGUAGUCCACGCCCUAAACGAUGUCAACUGGUUGUUGGGAGGGUUUCUUCUCAGUAACGUAGCUAACGCGUGAAGUUGACCGCCUGGGGAUACGGCCGCAAGGUUGAAACUCGAAUGAAUUGACGGCUGAGACGNGACGAGACGACGACGAGGGAGGAGG
Molecule: ribosomal RNA, 618 nt
Filed under: uncultured bacterium
Lineage: Bacteria
Description: bacterial SSU rRNA
Rfam family: Bacterial small subunit ribosomal RNA
Source: RNAcentral